RNAcentral lists this transfer RNA (69 nucleotides) under Tritoma metasobrina. RNAcentral's name for it is "tRNA-Gln". Lineage: Eukaryota; Metazoa; Arthropoda; Insecta; Coleoptera; Erotylidae. The record is from RNAcentral.
UAUAUUUUAGUAUAUGAGGUACAAGAGUUUUUGAUACUCUUAGAAAUAGUUUAAUUCUAUUAAAUAUAG